GCCGGGUGCGGUGAUGCGUGCCUGUAGUCCAAGCUACUUGGGAGGCUGAGGUGGGAGGAUCGCUUGAGCUUAGGAGUUCUGGGCUGUAGUGCGCUGUGUUGACUGGGUGUCCACACUGAGUUUGGCAUCAAUAUGGUGACCUCCCGGGAGCGGGGGACCACCAGGUUGCCUAAGGAGGGAUGAACUGGCCCAGGUCGGAAAUGGAGCAGGUCAAAAUUCCCGGGCUGAUCAGUAGUGGGAUCGCACCUGUGAAUAGCCACUGCACUCCAGCCUGGGCAACAUAGCGAGACCCUGUCUCU
Molecule: signal recognition particle RNA, 299 nt
Filed under: Aotus nancymaae (Ma's night monkey)
Lineage: Eukaryota; Metazoa; Chordata; Mammalia; Primates; Aotidae
Description: Metazoan signal recognition particle RNA (ENSANAG00000010047.1)
Rfam family: Metazoan signal recognition particle RNA
About the family: The signal recognition particle (SRP) is a universally conserved ribonucleoprotein. It is involved in the co-translational targeting of proteins to membranes.
Source: RNAcentral